Molecule: ribosomal RNA, 253 nt
Filed under: uncultured prokaryote
Description: partial 16S ribosomal RNA
Rfam family: Bacterial small subunit ribosomal RNA
Source: RNAcentral
ACAGAGGUCCCGAGCGUUAGGCGGAAUCACUGGGCUUAAAGCGUGUGUAGGCGGAUGCCUAAGUACCUUGUGAAAUCCCACGGCUCACCCGUGGAACUGCUUGGUAUACUGGGUGUCUUGAGCCACUUAGGGGCUACCGGAACAAAUGGUGGAGCGGUGAAAUGCGUAGAUAUCGGGAGGAACACCUGUGGCGAAGGCGGCCCCCUGGUUGGAUACUGACGCUGAUACGCGAAAGCGUGGGGAGCAAACAGGA